GAUGAACGCUGGCGGCGUGCCUAAUACAUGCAAGUCGAGCGAACAGAUAAGGAUCUUGCUCCUUUAACGUUAGCGGCGUGCGUGUGAGUAACACGUGGGUAACCUACCUAUGAGACUGGGAUAACUUCGGGAAACCGGUGCUAAUACCGGAUAACAUUUGGAACCGCAUGGUUCUAAAGUGAUAGAUGGUGUUGCUAUCACUUAUAGAUGGACCCGCGCCGUAUUAGCUAGGUGGUAAGGUAACGGCUUACCAAGGCAACGAUACGUAGCCGACCUGAGAGGGAGCUCGGCCAAACUGGAGAGCAGACACGGUGCGACCUACUAAGGGAGGAAGCAGCAGGGAAUCGCAGGCAAGGGGAGAAAGCCUCGAGGAGCAAAGCCCCGAGAGAGAUACAGGGUUUCGGCUAGUACAACCCUGUUAUUAGGGACGAACAAACGUGGAAGAAAAUGUGCACGGCUUGACGGUACCUACUCAGAAAGCGCCGGCUAACUACGUG
This 497-nucleotide ribosomal RNA is filed under the name uncultured bacterium. Its description in RNAcentral is "partial 16S ribosomal RNA". It matches the Rfam family "Bacterial small subunit ribosomal RNA", at positions 28 to 507 of the family's 1533-position model. The record is from RNAcentral.